This 341-nucleotide long non-coding RNA is filed under the name Elaeis guineensis (African oil palm). Its description in RNAcentral is "long non-coding RNA (EGUI_LNC056426)". Lineage: Eukaryota; Viridiplantae; Streptophyta; Magnoliopsida; Arecales; Arecaceae. The record is from RNAcentral.
UUCGGACGAAAUUCGCUUACAGUAGAAGUCCAGAGUAGACCGCUUGCAGUAGAAGUUUGAAGUAGACUGCUUGCGGUAGAAGUUCGGAGUAGACCGUUUACAGUAGAAGUUUGGCUGAAAUUCGGAAGGCAGUCGACCAUCGUAGAAAUUUGGAUGGGGUCUGGUUACUAUAGAAGUCCUGCUGCUAAAGAAGCUCGAUCAUUGAUGAAGUUCGAAAGAAGUUUGGAGUAAAGUCGAUCAUGGCUGGAAGAAGUCUGGAAGAGAUUUGGAGAGUAGUUGAUCACUGUAGAAAAUCGGCUGAUAGUGAAGCCCAGAGAGCAUUUGGAGCGGUCCGAUAAAUG